RNAcentral lists this ribosomal RNA (171 nucleotides) under uncultured bacterium. RNAcentral's name for it is "partial 16S ribosomal RNA". It matches the Rfam family "Bacterial small subunit ribosomal RNA", at positions 1315 to 1500 of the family's 1533-position model. The record is from RNAcentral.
CCUACAUGAAGCUGGAAUUGCUAGUAAUCACAGGUCAGCAUACUGUGGUGAAUACGUUCCCGGGCCUUGUACACACCGCCGUCACACCAUGAGAGUUGAGAAUACCCGAAGCCCAUGUCAAAGUGGUCGAAGGUAGGCUUGAUGAUUGGGGUGAAGUCGUAACAAGGUAUC